GAUUACCUGAGAUGUUCGCCAGCGGGUUACGUCCCUGAGCCGAUACUUACAUACUUCGAGUUGGUUCUCUAUAUUGUUGGUGCGCAGGCUUAGUUUUACUAAGAAGCCUAAAAACGAUUACAACCGACUCCCUUGAACCGUCGGGUUCAAGGACCGACCACCCACAACGGCAUCUCGGGACCUAA
Molecule: non-coding RNA, 185 nt
Filed under: Exercitatus varius
Lineage: Bacteria; Pseudomonadati; Pseudomonadota; Gammaproteobacteria; Pasteurellales; Pasteurellaceae
Also listed under: 1 other name
Description: 6S RNA
Rfam family: 6S / SsrS RNA
About the family: E. coli 6S RNA was the first non coding RNA to be sequenced, but its function was unknown until recently.
Source: RNAcentral